GACGAACGCUGGCGGCGUGCUUAACACAUGCAAGUCGAACGGUGACCCGGAGCUUGCUCCGGUGAUCAGUGGCGAACGGGUGAGUAACACGUGGGCAACCUGCCCCUGACUCCGGGAUAACUGCUCGAAAGAGCAGCUAAUACCAGAUACGACCACUUCGGGCAUCCGAUGGUGGUGGAAAGUUUUUCGGUCAGGGAUGGGCCCGCGGCCUAUCAGCUUGAUGGUGGGGUAGUGGCCUACCAUGGCGACGACGGGUAGCCGGCCUGAGAGGGCGACCGGCCACACUGGGACUGAGACACGGCCCAGACUCCUACGGGAGGCAGCAGUGGGGAAUAUUGCGCAAUGGGCGAAAGCCUGACGCAGCGACGCCGCGUGAGGGAUGACGGCCUCGGUGUAACCUCUUCAGCAGGAAGAAAUUAGACGGUACCUGCAGAAGAAGACACCGGCGUAACUACGUGCCAGCAG
Molecule: ribosomal RNA, 465 nt
Filed under: uncultured bacterium
Lineage: Bacteria
Description: bacterial SSU rRNA
Rfam family: Bacterial small subunit ribosomal RNA
Source: RNAcentral